GACGUAGGGCGCAAGCGUUGUCCGGAUUUAUUGGGCGUAAAGAGCGUGUAGGCGGCCAGAUAGGUCUGUUGUGAAAACUCGAGGCUCAACCUCGAGACGCCGAUGGAAACCAUUUGGCUAGAGUCCGGAAGAGGAGAGUGGAAUUCCUGGUGUAGCGGUGAAAUGCGCAGAUAUCAGGAAGAACACCCGUGGCUAAGGCGGCUCUCUAGUACGGUACUGACGCUGAGACGCGAAAGCGUGGGGAGCGAACAGG
RNAcentral lists this ribosomal RNA (253 nucleotides) under uncultured bacterium. Its description in RNAcentral is "partial 16S ribosomal RNA". It matches the Rfam family "Bacterial small subunit ribosomal RNA", at positions 524 to 776 of the family's 1533-position model. The record is from RNAcentral.